Molecule: long non-coding RNA, 468 nt
Organism: Mytilus californianus (California mussel)
Lineage: Eukaryota; Metazoa; Mollusca; Bivalvia; Mytilida; Mytilidae
Exons: 4
Source: RefSeq, a predicted model, not a curated record
GUAUAAAUGCACUUUUACAUGAUAUAAAUCAGCUGCCAUAUUCCAGAUUACAGCCAUACAAGAUGAGAGGUAUCCAGAUACUGUUGUUUAUAACCCUAGUGGUGACCGCGAUGUCACACCCAGGUGAUUCAUACGACUCUUGCGCCAGUAACGAAGGAAUAUGCAUGUUGAGCCUACCCUGUCCUGAACUUUACCAUCAUGAUCCAUAUCACUUGUGUUUUGCUGGACAAAUCUGUUGUCUUCCUGAUGGUACAAACCACACUUGCGCCAGACAUGAAGGAAAAUGCAUGUUGAGCCUACCCUGUCCUGAAUUUUACCGUUAUGAUCAAUAUCACUUGUGUUUUGCUGGACAAAUCUGUUGUCUUCCUGAUUUGCUAAUGAUUGGUUAAUAUUUGAAUGAGGACAGUUAUAGUAUAAACGACGAGGAAUUAUUGUUUUAAAUUAAUCAAAUAAAAAACUAAUUAGAUA